UUCAGGCUAAGAAAGCCUGUCCAUUAAACAUUGAGGUUAAUGUAGCUGAACAUGGUUGACGCACAAUCAUUGGUCAAGUCAUUCAAAACAUCUGCGUAUGGACAAGCAAAGUCCUUGAAUGCUGAACAACAGCGAUCACGAGGAUACUGAGGUCCUUUACAUUGGCUUAUGAUGACCGUAUAGUUCAGAAACUCAAAGUUUAAUGGACAGGCUUUCUUAGCCUGAAGCAGAUUCCUGCCUGUGGAAGCAUGGGAUUGAAAAACCGAAUCUGAAAUAAAACUGGAAGCAAAAGAACGAGGAGCAAAGACAACCAUCAACAGGAAGAAGAAGAAGACAAAUACAGAAACCCGAUUCAACUCCAUUUUUGUUUACUAUGUAUAUAUGAAAGGGAGAGAUCUCCCCUCUGCACUUGUUCUUUCUGUUCUUGUGGGUUGGCUCUAUUUGAGAUAUUUGGGUUGUAAAAUAUAGUUUAAAGCAUUAAAGAUCUGGAAAGAGUCAGAAAACAUCAAGGGCAAGGGUCAUCUGAUGAUGGAGAAGUGGUUGACAGCAAAUAACGCCGAAGGUACAGCUCACAGCCGCUUUUUUCUUCCUCUUGAG
Molecule: unclassified non-coding RNA, 597 nt
Filed under: Hevea brasiliensis (rubber tree)
Lineage: Eukaryota; Viridiplantae; Streptophyta; Magnoliopsida; Malpighiales; Euphorbiaceae
Source: RNAcentral